RNAcentral lists this ribosomal RNA (200 nucleotides) under uncultured bacterium. Its description in RNAcentral is "partial 16S ribosomal RNA". It matches the Rfam family "Bacterial small subunit ribosomal RNA", at positions 30 to 242 of the family's 1533-position model. The record is from RNAcentral.
AUUGAACGCUGGCGGCAGGCCUAACACAUGCAAGUCGAGCGGGGUUUUCGGACCUAGCGGCGGACGGGUGAGUAAUGCGUAGGAAGCUGCCCGAUAGAGGGGGAUACCAGUUGGAAACGACUGUUAAUACCGCAUAAUGUCUACGGACCAAAGUGUGGGACCUUCGGGCCACGUGCUAUCGGAUGCGCCUACGUGGGAUU